AUUGAACGCUGGCGGCGUGCUUAACACAUGCAAGUCGAGCGGUAACAGGCGUAGCAAUACGUGCUGACGAGCGGCGAACGGGUGCGUAAUACAUCGGAAUCUGCCUAGUAGUGGGGAAUAACCCGGCGAAAGCCGGGCUAAUGCCGCAUACGAUCCACGGAUGAAAGCGGGGGACUUUCGGGCCUCGCGCUAUUAGAUGAGCCGAUGCCGGAUUAGCUAGNGGUGAGGUAACGGCUCACCAAGGCGACGAUCCGUAGCUGGUCUGAGAGGACGGCCAGCCACACUGGGACUGAGACACGGCCCAGACUCCUACGGGAGGCAGCAGUGGGGAAUAUUGGACAAUGGGGGAAACCCUGAUCCAGCGACGCCGCGUGUGUGAAGAAGGCCU
This 388-nucleotide ribosomal RNA is filed under the name uncultured bacterium. RNAcentral's name for it is "bacterial SSU rRNA". It matches the Rfam family "Bacterial small subunit ribosomal RNA", at positions 29 to 417 of the family's 1533-position model. The record is from RNAcentral.